CGGCCGCUGAGGAGGAGGAGGAGCGGGCCGCGGGGGCUACGCUGCCUUGGUACUACCCUGCUAGAGUUUGGUAGGAAAAAUAUCUACUUACUGAAGCUUUCUUGACAUAGAAAGAGAUGUGGGGGGAUUCUCGAUCUGCUAACAGAACAGGACCUUUUCGGGAACUCUAAUGAUCCAUGACAAAGAAGUCACUCUUGAAUAUGUACCAAGUCCAGAUUUUUGGUACUGCAAAAGAUGUAAGGCCAGCACUGGUGGGCAUCAGUCUUGUUGUUCAUACUGUAAGGGCCCAAAGGAAGAAGUCAAGCAAGAACUAGUAUCCUAUCCUCAACCUCAGAAAACAUCCAUUCCAGUACCCUCAGAAAAACAGCCCAACCAGCCACGACCUGUUGAUAAGGAGCAUGAACUCAGGAAGCGGGAGGAAGGCCAAGAGUCGAGAUUGGGACAUCAGAAGAGAGAGACAGAAAGAUACUUCCCUCACUCUCGAAGGGAAGGACUCACUUUCCGAAGAGACCGAGAAAAGGAGUCAUGGUCUGGAGAGACUCGCCAGGAUGGAGAGAGCAAAACAAUUAUGCUAAAACGUAUCUAUCGUUCUACUCCACCCGAAGUGAUAGUUGAAGUGCUGGAGCCCUACGUGCAUCUCACUACUGCCAAUGUCCGUAUCAUCAAGAACAGAACUGGCCCUAUGGGUCACACUUAUGGUUUUAUAGACCUCGACUCACAUGCA
RNAcentral lists this long non-coding RNA (724 nucleotides) under Rattus norvegicus (Norway rat). Its description in RNAcentral is "long non-coding RNA NONRATT028978". The record is from RNAcentral. Lineage: Eukaryota; Metazoa; Chordata; Mammalia; Rodentia; Muridae.